This is a non-coding RNA of Fukomys damarensis (Damara mole-rat), 194 nucleotides long. Lineage: Eukaryota; Metazoa; Chordata; Mammalia; Rodentia; Bathyergidae. The record is from Rfam.
ACCACUUCUUGGCCUUUUGGUUAACAUCAAGUGUAGCAUCUGUUCUUACCAAGUUACACCCUGGCAGUGUACCUGAGAGAAGCUCUUAUACAUGUGUAUAAGGACAUAUAUUCAUGAAUAUCUAUUUCAGUAUUUUUCAAGAGCCAAAAAUAGAAGCAGGACAAAGGAUAAAGUAUUAUGUUAUCCUACAAAGC